RNAcentral lists this ribosomal RNA (261 nucleotides) under Triticum aestivum (bread wheat). RNAcentral describes it as "partial small subunit ribosomal RNA". Lineage: Eukaryota; Viridiplantae; Streptophyta; Magnoliopsida; Poales; Poaceae. The record is from RNAcentral.
AUGCAACAAGGCCAUCCAAUUGCUUUCCUCAGUCGUGCUUUGGGGGUGAACAACCGCAAGUUAUCAGUCUAUGAGAAGGAGUUCUUGGCAGUCCUACUCGCUGUCGAUCAUUGGCGUCAGUACUUAGAGCGAGGACCCUUUGAAAUUCUGACAGACCAUAAGAGUUUGUGUAAUCUGGGGGAGCAGCACCUCGGAUCUGAGCUGCAACGCAAAGCAAUGGCGAAGUUGGGCGGCUUGCAAUUCAAAUUCAAGUACCGUAGA